RNAcentral lists this ribosomal RNA (253 nucleotides) under uncultured bacterium. RNAcentral describes it as "partial 16S ribosomal RNA". It matches the Rfam family "Bacterial small subunit ribosomal RNA", at positions 524 to 776 of the family's 1533-position model. The record is from RNAcentral.
UACGUAGGCAGCGAGCGUUGUUCGGAGUUACUGGGCGUAAAGAGUGCGUAGGCGGUUUUCUAAGUUUGGUGUGAAAUCUCCCGGCUUAACUGGGAGGGUGCGCCGAAGACUGGAAGGCUUGAGUAUGGGAGAGGUAAGCGGAAUUCCUGGUGUAGCGGUGAAAUGCGUAGAUAUCAGGAGGAACACCGAUUGCGAAGGCAGCUCGCUGGAACGUUACUGACGCUGAGACGCGAAAGCGUGGGGAGCAAACAGG